GAUGAAGAACGCAGCGAAAUGCGAUAAGUAAUGUGAAUUGCAGAAUUCAGUGAAUCAUCGAAUCUUUGAAAGCACAUUGCGCCCGCCAGUAUUCUGGCGGGCAUGCCUGUUCGAGCGUCAUUUCAACCAUCAAGCCCCCGGGCUUGUGUUGGGGACCUGCGGCUGCCGCAGGCCCCGAAAACCAGUGGCGGGCUCGCUGUCACCCCGAGCGUAGUAGUUUACACCUCGCCCAGGGCGUGCCGCGGGUUCCCGGCCGUUAAACCCCCCCAUACCACAAGGUUGACCUCGGAUCAGGUAGGAAGACCCGCUGAACUUAAGCAUAUCAAUAAGCGGAGGA
Molecule: unclassified non-coding RNA, 337 nt
Filed under: soil metagenome
Description: partial contains 5.8S ribosomal RNA, internal transcribed spacer 2, and large subunit ribosomal RNA
Rfam family: 5.8S ribosomal RNA (bases 1-120)
Source: RNAcentral